GUGAGUAAUAUUGGUCAAUGGGCGCAAGCCUGAACCAGCCAUGCCGCGUGCAGGAAGACGGUCCUAUGGAUUGUAAACUGCUUUUAUUUGGGAAUAAACUCCGGUACGUGUACCGGCCUGAAGGUACCAAAUGAAUAAGCACCGGCUAACUCCGUGCCAGCAGCCGCGGUAAUACGGAGGGUGCAAGCGUUAUCCGGAAUCAUUGGGUUUAAAGGGUCCGCAGGCGGUCUUAUAAGUCAGUGGUGAAAGCCUACAGCUCAACUGUAGAACUGCCAUUGAUACUGUAGGACUUGAAUUCGAUCGAAGUGGGCGGAAUGUGACAUGUAGCGGUGAAAUGCUUAGAUAUGUCACAGAACACCGAUAGCGAAGGCAGCUCACUAGGUCUGGAUUGACGCUCAGGGACGAAAGCGUGGGGAGCAAACAGGAUUAGAAACCCGUGUAGUCC
RNAcentral lists this ribosomal RNA (445 nucleotides) under uncultured bacterium. RNAcentral's name for it is "partial 16S ribosomal RNA". It matches the Rfam family "Bacterial small subunit ribosomal RNA", at positions 354 to 796 of the family's 1533-position model. The record is from RNAcentral.